RNAcentral lists this long non-coding RNA (502 nucleotides) under Linum usitatissimum (flax). RNAcentral's name for it is "long non-coding RNA (LUSI_LNC002423)". The record is from RNAcentral. Lineage: Eukaryota; Viridiplantae; Streptophyta; Magnoliopsida; Malpighiales; Linaceae.
UUUUUAAUCAUCUUACUCUUAGUCUCUUUCCAUUAAUCUUUCCCAUUAAAGUUUUUCCUUUUGAGUUUUGACUCCUAAUAUCACUUUUCAUGACCACUUGUACAGAUGGCCGGUUGGCUACCAAGGACAUCUACCCACUUACUCUACCGCAGUUUCCUUUGAUUGCAAUUGUCGGCAAAGCAGAUACAAUUGGACUAUGUUUGUCUUGACGUCGUUGGCAACUUUCAAAUGCAUUCCUCAUUGAUGCAGAGGCUCUCACCAGAAAAGGAAAUGGAAAGGCGAGCUAAUUAAUAAGUAGAUAUUGAAGGGGACCUACAUGCAGUAGUGGCCCCACAACAGCGCUGGACAUACACAAUUGACAAAUGCAGGAGCAAUUAUCCAGAAAAUCCGUCGAAUCUUUGUACUCUUUUAAGAGGUUCAUCUAUUAUGGUUUGGUGGGCAAGGAACGGGAUGGAUAAUUAUGACUUCUAAAUAUAUUUUAAAAAAUGUCGCGGGUAGUUUU